UACGGGGGGGGCAAGCGUUGUUCGGAAUUACUGGGCGUAAAGGGCUCGUAGGCGGCCAACUAAGUCGGACGUGAAAUCCCCAGGCUCAGCCUGGGAACUGCGUCCGAUACUGGAUGGCUUGAAUCCGGGAGAGGGAUGCAGAAUUCCAGGUGUAGCGGUGAAAUGCGUAGAUAUCUGGAGGAAUACCGGUGGCGAAGGCGGCAUCCUGGACCGGCAUUGACGCUGAGGAGCGAAAGCCAGGGGAGCAAACGGG
RNAcentral lists this ribosomal RNA (253 nucleotides) under uncultured bacterium. RNAcentral describes it as "partial 16S ribosomal RNA". It matches the Rfam family "Bacterial small subunit ribosomal RNA", at positions 524 to 776 of the family's 1533-position model. The record is from RNAcentral.